GACGAACGCUGGCGGCGUGCUUAACACAUGCAAGUCGAACGGAAAGGCCCUGCUUGCAGGGUACUCGAGUGGCGAACGGGUGAGUAACACGUGGGUGAUCUGCCCUGCACUUCGGGAUAAGCUUGGGAAACUGGGUCUAAUACCGGAUAGGAGCCAUCUUUAGUGUGGUGGUUGGAAAGUUUUUUCGGUGUAGGAUGAGCUCGCGGCCUAUCAGCUUGUUGGUGGGGUAAUGGCCUACCAAGGCGGCGUCGGGUAGCCGGCCUGAGAGGGUGUACGGCCACAUUGGGACUGAGAUACGGCCCAGACUCCUACGGGAGGCAGCAGUGGGGAAUAUUGCACAAUGGGCGCAAGCCUGAUGCAGCGACGCCGCGUGGGGGAUGAAGGCCUUCGGGUUGUAAACUCCUUUCGCUAGGGACGAAGCUUUUUUGUGACGGUACCUAGAUAAGAAGCACCGGCUAACUACGUG
This 466-nucleotide ribosomal RNA is filed under the name uncultured bacterium. RNAcentral describes it as "partial 16S ribosomal RNA". It matches the Rfam family "Bacterial small subunit ribosomal RNA", at positions 28 to 507 of the family's 1533-position model. The record is from RNAcentral.